Molecule: long non-coding RNA, 546 nt
Organism: Stegodyphus dumicola
Lineage: Eukaryota; Metazoa; Arthropoda; Arachnida; Araneae; Eresidae
Source: RefSeq, a predicted model, not a curated record
GAUGACUAUGUUCCGUGGCCGUUCAAGGUCAGACUCUCCAUCGAACUUGCAACAAGCAAUGAGCGGACCACUAACGACUAUUACUCCAACAUUUGCUUCCAAUAAGUCUCAAGGAAAUGUUUUGCAAAGGGGUAAGUCCGAGCUCUUUGUACCCAAGUUUAAAGAUUGCUUAUUUCGAUUUCUAGCUCAGACAAGAAGAGUUCAGGAUACUGCAUAAAGCAUUUUAAAGGUUGAGAGAAAGUCGUCUGAAGAUCCUGCAAUCAAGCUUGCUUCUUUGGCACUACUUGCAAUGCAGAUGAGUAAAUGUGAAAGAAGGAAUAAAUUUUCUCGUCUGAAUUUUUCAGUAAACAAAGACAUUGAUUGUUUGAAUAUCUCUUUGACUGUUUCACAUUGAUAUACAUUUGUGGUUUCUUUGAUCUGCGUGUGGUUGCUACAUUUAUUUGGAUUUCUUUAUCUUACUUUAUUACCCUGCAAUUUUAUACUUAUAUUGAUUAACUUGUAUAUACAAUGCAAAAAAAAAAAUAAAGUUUCUAUUUUUCAAAUAAA